Molecule: non-coding RNA, 636 nt
Organism: Python bivittatus (Burmese python)
Lineage: Eukaryota; Metazoa; Chordata; Lepidosauria; Squamata; Pythonidae
Source: RefSeq, a predicted model, not a curated record
AGAGGGAACUGGAGCAGACUGAAAAGGAGCCGCUGGUCCACGCUUCUGCCUCCCCAAAGGGCCCCUAGAAAACAGGCAAGGAUGGUUCGCGUAAGGCAGUAAGGAACCCCUCCCUUCUUAAAACCCAGAAAUGAAGUACUGUAAUACAGGAAAUCCUUUGUGCCUUUUUGAGUUUCCUAGGGAGCACCCCAAGUGGUUCAACGAAGGGAGCUUGUCUGGAAACCGUGAAGAGAAAGAACCCUCAUUUUUUCAAAAGAGAAACCGUUUGUGCUAGAAAAGGAAAGAGAAGGGAAAAAAAAGCAUUAAGGAAGCGACUGUCUGAAACGUCUGGGCACACGUUCUGCGUAUGUUGGACUUCAUCUCUAAUUUCCUUCUCAUCUCUUUGGUGGCGGGCAGCAAAAAUAAGGCUGCCGGAGUUACCCAUCUGAGGGGCUGGCAAAUGUUACAGUCCAAGGACUGGUUGGGUCUUUAGCAUGACCAAGCUCCUGAGUCAGUCUGCUAUUCUUCCUAGAAGAAGACGACCCCAAGCCUCAACUGUUUCACCAACAGGAACCAAAAAGACUUGCCAUUUCUUUUAUAAUACUCCCGUAUAGAUUUUAAUUAUAAGAUGAGACGUCAGAAAGAAACAUGUGUUUA